RNAcentral lists this transfer RNA (68 nucleotides) under Marmota monax (woodchuck). Its description in RNAcentral is "tRNA.Ala". Lineage: Eukaryota; Metazoa; Chordata; Mammalia; Rodentia; Sciuridae. The record is from RNAcentral.
GGACUGCAGCUCAAUGGUAGAGCUCUUGCCUAGCAUGUGGGAGGCACUGGGUUCGAUCCUCAGCACCA